UACGUAGGGUGCGAGCGUUAAUCGGAAUUACUGGGCGUAAAGCGUGCGCAGGCGGUUUUGUAAGUCAGAUGUGAAAUCCCCGGGCUUAACCUGGGAACUGCGUUUGAAACUACAAGGCUAGAGUGUGGCAGAGGGGGGUGGAAUUCCACGUGUAGCAGUGAAAUGCGUAGAGAUGUGGAGGAACACCGAUGGCGAAGGCAGCCCCCUGGGUUAACACUGACGCUCAGGCACGAAAGCGUGGGGAGCAAACAGU
RNAcentral lists this ribosomal RNA (253 nucleotides) under uncultured bacterium. Its description in RNAcentral is "partial 16S ribosomal RNA". It matches the Rfam family "Bacterial small subunit ribosomal RNA", at positions 524 to 776 of the family's 1533-position model. The record is from RNAcentral.